CGGGUGCGUAACACGUAUGCAACCUACCUUCUACAGGGGUACAGCCUUCCGAAAGGGAGAUUAAUACCGCAUGAGACCACACUUAUUCAUAUAAGAGGGGUUAAAGAUUUAUCGGUAGAAGAUGGGCAUGCGUCUGAUUAGUUAGUUGGCGGGGUAAUGGCUCACCAAGACGAUGAUCAGUAGGGGAUCUGAGAGGAUUAUCCCCCACACUGGCACUGAGAUACGGGCCAGACUCCUACGGGAGGCAGCAG
RNAcentral lists this ribosomal RNA (251 nucleotides) under uncultured bacterium. Its description in RNAcentral is "partial 16S ribosomal RNA". It matches the Rfam family "Bacterial small subunit ribosomal RNA", at positions 103 to 354 of the family's 1533-position model. The record is from RNAcentral.